Molecule: ribosomal RNA, 961 nt
Filed under: uncultured Neocallimastigales
Lineage: Eukaryota; Fungi; Neocallimastigomycota; Neocallimastigomycetes; Neocallimastigales
Description: partial large subunit ribosomal RNA
Rfam family: Eukaryotic large subunit ribosomal RNA (bases 179-961)
Source: RNAcentral
GUACACGCUGUGACUAGCAUAUCAAUAAGCGGAGGAAAAGGCUGCGGAACUGAACGGCCGCUACCUACGCUUAGGAUGUUGACGAGACUGUCGAUCUCAUCUAUACAUGACUCUGUGCAUAUCAAUAAGCGGAGGAAAAGAGGGCUAUUACCUACGCUUAGGAUGUUGACGAGACUGUCGAUCUCAUCUAUACAUGACUCUGUGCAUAUCAAUAAGCGGAGGAAAAGAAACUAACAAGGAUUCCCUUAGUAACGGCGAGUGAAGCGGGAAGAGCUCAAAUUUGAAUCUUCAAGGUUCUACCUUGACGAAUUGUAGUUUAUAGAAGUGUUUUCUGUUAGUGGAGUGGCAAAAGUUCUUUGGAAUAGGACAUCAUAGAGGGUGAGAAUCCCGUAUUUGGUCAUUCCUCCUAGCGUUGUGAUACACUUUCAACGAGUCGGAUUGUUUGGGAAUGCAGUCCAAAAUGGGUGGUAAAUUUCAUCUAAAGCUAAAUAUUGGCGAGAGACCAAUAGCGAACAAGUACCGUGAGGGAAAGAUGAAAAGAACUUUGAAAAGAGAGUUAAACAGUACGUGAAAUUGUCAAAAGGGAAGCGUUUGACACCAGUGUUGUUUUUCCGAAAAUCAAUUACGAAUGUUUUGUUUUUGAGAGGUUAUGACUUCAUCGGCUUGCUUCUCUCUUUACGAAACUUUCUUAAUGCACUUUUCGGUUAACAAGUCAACAUCAAUUUCUUUUGUUGUAAAAGGGUAAGAGGAAGGUGGCUUACUCUUUCGGCGUAAAGUGUUUAUAGCCUUGUACCUCUGCAAUCGGAGAGAUUGAGGUCUGCAGCGUAGAUCCUUCGGGGUUAGAUACAUUUGUGCUAAGUUAUAGCUUUUCAUAGACAACUUGUUGACUAUGUUAGUCUUGUAGCUUACUCGCAUAUGCUAUUUUACCUACGCUUAGGAUGUUGACACACGCGCGUGCUCG